GGAUGGGCGGCGAAGACGGCGAGUCGCGCCAGACUGUAAAUCUGGAGCCCUUGAGGGCUGCGUGAGUUCAACUCUCACUCCAUCCA
Molecule: transfer RNA, 86 nt
Filed under: Deinococcus maricopensis DSM 21211
Lineage: Bacteria; Thermotogati; Deinococcota; Deinococci; Deinococcales; Deinococcaceae
Description: tRNA-Tyr (GTA) (tRNA-Tyr-GTA-2-1)
Rfam family: tRNA
About the family: Transfer RNA (tRNA) molecules are approximately 80 nucleotides in length. Their secondary structure includes four short double-helical elements and three loops (D, anti-codon, and T loops).
Source: Rfam by way of RNAcentral